Molecule: long non-coding RNA, 1095 nt
Filed under: Anas platyrhynchos platyrhynchos (common mallard)
Lineage: Eukaryota; Metazoa; Chordata; Aves; Anseriformes; Anatidae
Description: lncRNA (ENSAPLG00000023256.1)
Source: RNAcentral
GAUGUUGUAUGCUUCUUCAGAACAAAUAAUUUCCAAAUGUAGAGUUCAGUGAAAGGUUUAUCAUAGGGAUGUGAGGAAAUAGCACAUCUUCCUCUUACAAAUCAUGGGACAGCUGGAAACAAAAGUAUGUGUCACAGGAUAUUAGUGAUGGAAAAAAAAUUAUUAAGGGCUGGUUGACUUUGUAUAUCCAAAGUCUCUUUUGUGGAGAGUAGGAAUGUGAAAUACUGGAGCGUCUUGCAGAAAGGAGGCUUCCUCAAAAAGACAAGGCCGAGGAUGUUAUUACAGCCCGGGACCAUGCCCAAAUCCAGGCACUUGUUGUUUGUCAGAAGGCUGCUGCUCCUCUUGUGUCUUUGGAGGAAUUGCCUGAGGGAGCAGCCACCUACCUGAACCUUUGCUCCUGCCUUUCCUGACUUGUGCAGACAGGAGGAGGAACAGAGCACCUAGACGUGGCAUGAGACCUGCUCAGUCUGAUUUGCAGCUUAGAAAAGACACUACUUUGAGCUCUAGAUCCUACUUUGAGAGCACAACUCAGGUGAAGAAAGCAUGAACGUGUCCACUCCUCAGCUGUUGAUGCUCCCUUCGUAACAAGUGGUGAGAAACAGCACAUGAUUCAUCUCGGCCUUAAGGUAAGGGUAGGAUUUGGGUCUAGACUGGAGGCUGAAUCCAGGAUUUAAGCCUGUUCAUUAAGUGUCUAGUGUGUCAGUGGACAUAGUCUUUGCUGUGAAGGGUAGUUGUGCCUUGUAAAGUGAACUGAAUCGUUCUCUGGUGUCCAGUGACUGAGUUGAACAGAUCUCCAUAACUGUUCUGAGAGCUUGGACAUAUUGCUCUCUCUUAGGUGCCCUUUUCCAGUAUGUUUUUCUCAAAACUCAAGUGUCUGAGCUGAUCAAGAGAAUCAAAUCCUGGAAGUACCUAUUUAUUGCCAGUGUUUUUAAAGGAUGGCUGCUAGGAGACACAAACCAUCAGGCACCAUUUCUGCUCUGGAAGGAGAAACAGCAGUGACAGCUCCCUGGGAAAGGUCCUGCUGAGGCUGAGGGUGCCAGAUGAGUUUGGGUUAGGAGAAGAGCAGGUUUUACUGGACUGUUCCUGGCUCAGGCU